This is a long non-coding RNA of Maylandia zebra (zebra mbuna), 200 nucleotides long. RefSeq lists it as uncharacterized. NCBI's taxonomy places the organism in Eukaryota, Metazoa, Chordata, Actinopteri, Cichliformes, Cichlidae. The record is from RefSeq and is a predicted model, not a curated record.
UUUCUCCCUCUGCUUGCUUCUUACUGUCUUUGAGGCUCGGGACCAGCACUCCUGUUGUUGGACAGAAAGACAUCAACUCAGUGACUUGAGAUAUGACUGCACUAUGCUGUUGCUGGUGACUCCAGUUAAUUCUACAAGACAUGCUGUGACACCAGGAGAGAUGAGUCCUCGGUCACAGAUGGUGUGGUCAGUGAAGAUGG